Long non-coding RNA from Ostrea edulis (European flat oyster), 892 nucleotides. RefSeq lists it as uncharacterized. The transcript has 5 exons. The record is from RefSeq and is a predicted model, not a curated record. NCBI's taxonomy places the organism in Eukaryota, Metazoa, Mollusca, Bivalvia, Ostreida, Ostreidae.
UACUGGUAUAUUAGAUACAGGUAACAAACAUUGACAGGUGUGACAUUAAUUACAGGUAUACUAGAUACAGGUAACAAACAUUGACAGGUGUGACAUUAAUUACAGGUAUAUUAGAUACAGGUAACAAACAUUGACAGGUGUGACAUUAAUUACAGGUAUAUUAGAUACAGGUAACAAACAUUGACAGGUGUGACAUUAAUUACAGGUAUAUACAGGUAUAUUAGAUACAGGUAACAAACAUUGACAGGUGUGACAUUAAUUACAGGUAUAUUAGAUACAGGUAACAAACAUUGACAGGUGUGACAUUAAUUACAGGUAUAUACAGGUAUAUUAGAUACAGGUAACAAACAUUGACAGGUGUGACAUUAAUUACAGGUAUAUACAGGUAUAUUAGAUACAGGUAACAAACAUUGACAGGUGUACCAUUAAUUACAGGUAUAUUAGAUACAGGGUACUUUUGAUGGAAGGUACUUCGUAAAAAUUACAUCAGGACAUACAAUUUUUUUUUCUUUUAUUGAAAAUAUGACUUGCACUUUGGUACAAUAUUGUACAUGUAGGUAUUGCAAGGGUAUUAAAAUGAUACCCACAAGUGAACAAAUGAAUAAAAGGUACAUGUGUAGGGCAAAGCUCAUACAAUUUUGUUUAAGUAUGAAUUUAAAUGAAAGUUCAACGAGACAGAUUUGUCUGAUAAAUAAGAAAGAUACAAUAUAUAACUAUAUAACACAGCUUUUUUUUGUUGUACUUUAAUAACCGUGCCAUUUUCUCCAAGGCCAUGCAGCAUCUUUGUAAUUUAGUAUCCAUUUCAAGCUUUUGUUUCGACCAGCAAGGUCAAUGCAUGCUCGAAUCUAGGGGGGAGAUUUGCAAAGAUAAAAAAAAUUACAAUAUAACGAUU